ACCCUAACACACUCAGAAACUUCCUCUCGACUCUCACACUCUCAUGGCCGCCACCGUCUCCUGCUCCAGUGUCGCCACCGGUGUCCUUGUCGGCGCUCCUACUCCACCGUUCGCGUGAAGCGGAGAAGCGGAGCCAGAGGCGGAGUGGCCGAACCCAGGCGGUGGCUGAACCAUAGGAAGUGGAGCCGGCUCCAGAGUCGAUCAUGACGUCGCUCACAUGCCAUCUUCACAAUUACAUUAGAACAGAUGCACAAACUCCAUCCAGCAGUGAUACUUCGGAUGAGGAUAUGGGUUAAGAAUACCUUUCAGCAAAGUUCCAUUUGGUAGAUCUAGCUGGAUCAGAGAGAGCUAAAAGAACUGGUUCCGAUGGUCUUCGUUUCAAAGGUGUACACAUCAAUAAAGGCCUUCUUGCACUAGGUUCAUGUAUCAGCUAUCCUAUGAGUGGGAAUGCAAUCCAAGUAGUUGCCUGGGCUUAAAUCAUAACUGGAAGCAUUGAUCCUUUUCUGCAGAUUUCUAGAAGCUAAUUUUCAACCUGUUUUUCCUCAUCAAGAUUAUGAUUGGCUCGGCAUCAAACUACUGUUUUCAGGGAGGGCCACUUCUAUAUGCUUUGCUGAAUUAUGACAAGUCCAGCGUGAUUCCUAGCUGGACAUUGUAGCUUUAUACCUUUCUAAUGGACCUUUCAGAAGGAUGAUACAAAUGUCAUAGUUUCUUAGAACACUGAAGUGUCAAGUUUACCCUGCUGCCAUCUUAUUAAGAUGUCGUGCGCCAAAGUGCUUUGGGUUGGAACUUGCGGUUUCAUCUCCUCUAUAAGCCUCGACAUCUCUGGAUAGAGGGAACAAUCUGCUUUGUGUUUCCCUUCUGUGGAUGUGAAGCUUCUUGAAUCAAGAGGAAUAGUUUGUCGGUUGCAAAGGAGAAAAACAUCCAGUAUGUUGCAUUCCCUGUGGUGUCUAUUGUCUAUUUGACAAAUUAAAAGCUAUCUCACAGACAAGGUACUGAAGAAUUUCUUUGAACAUCCAGUAUGUUUAAUUUGUCAAAAUCUGUCAUAUGCAUAUCAUUAAACCUCUCUUCUCAUUUAGCCAUCUGUUAUUGGUAUAUACCCCUUUGUUCAUAAUCUUUUUUAUUCAAAUGGAAAAAUUUCCCAAUCCAUGAUGACAUGUCUCGAAAAUGGUAUUUGCUGCAAUCUCAUGGUCUGAAGAAUUUCUUGUAGUUGAGGGGUGAUUUUGUGUUCUAGUCAUGAGCUUAGUUUUGGGAUUUAGCGAGGGAAUUAGCAAGGGAAUGGAAAUAAAAAUGUUAGGCAGUUAGCGACGGACUGUCUGUUCCGUCUGAAAUAGCGACGGUGUCUGUUCCGUCUGAAAUAGCGACGGUGUCUGUUCCGUCUGAAAUAGCGACGGAAACAUCCGUCGCAAAUAGCUACGGAUUAUCAUUCUCCUUCGCUAAUAGCGACGGACUGUUCCGUCGCAAAUAGCGACGGAAAGAGGCCUAAUACGGCAAACAAGUUAGCGACGGAAAUAUAUAAACCAGCGACGGAAAUAUUCCGUCGCCGAUAGCGACGGAUUUAAGAAUCCGUCGUUAAAUAUUUAUCGACGCCACUUUAUACGGCGGAUGGAGUUCCGUCGCUAAAUUUUUAGCGACGGAAUUUUCCUUGUUUAGCGACGGAUUUUGUCCCUCGCUAAUUUGCUUUUUUUAGUAGUGUGAGCUACUCACAGCUGUGACAGUAGCAUUCCAAAUAUCUGGUAGGGAAGACAAAAGUAUCAAAGCCCGUACUUCAUCAUCAAAGUCGAUUCCAACUGAACUCAACUGGGUUGUAACUGUACUGAGUUCGUUUAGAUGUUGCGCCGUUGACGCACCUUCUGUCAUCCGUAAGUUGAACAGUCGCCUCAUCAAAUGAACUUUGUUUGAGGCCGAUGGCUUUUCAUACAUGUUGGCAAGGGUCUUCAUAAGACCAGCCGUAGUCUUUUCUUUUGCAAUGUUGAAAGCAACGUUACGGGAUAACGUCAAUCGAAUGACUCCAAGAGCUUUUCUAUCAAGAAGAUUCCAGUCAUCUUCCUUCAUAUCUGUUGGUUUGGUGCUCGUGAGAGGUUGAUGCAUGCUUUUCUGAUACAAAUAAUCUUCUAUUUGCAUCUUCCAAAAGCCGAAGUCCGCACCAUCGAACUUCUCAAUUUUCACCUUUCCUUCGUCAACUGUCAUCGCUCCCACUCAGUGUUAUCAAAUCGCGAUCGCGGACCAUCGCGGUGAGACCAAAAUCCGCUAUUUCAUAUAGCGGAUAGCGUCGCGGGCAAAUAGCGAAAACCGCAUAGCGGUUAAAAUAAGUAAAAUAUUAUAAGAAAACAGUGGCUUAUCAGACAUCUAUUGCAAUACUAGAGCAGAAACAUUUGAAAUGAACAAAUAAAAACUGCAUAAAAAACAGCAGCUUAUCACAUAACAAUAAAAAACUGCAUAAAAUCAUCAUUUUUAACAACCAAAUGUUAAUUAUUAAAGGCUGCCACCAGCUCAAAACAAAUGUCAAAAGACAUAAAACAACAUAAACCAAACACAAUUCUUAAAACAGUGAAACCGAAAAAGGAAAUGCAAUAAAAAAGAAUUAAUGGGGAGUUAAUUGGGCUUGUAGAAGGAGGAUGAGAGAAGGAGAAUUAGGAUUUUGAAAACCUUUUCAAUCCUGCCGUGAUUCUUCUUCAUGAUGAAGCAUAAAUAUAGAAAAAAAGAAUUAAUGGGGAGUUAAUUGGGAAGUUGGUGGCCCAAUAGUCAAGAAUUACCAUAUUUAAAAACCCUAAAAAAUUAAAAAAACGUGCAGUAUUCCUCAAAAUCCGCUAUUUCCGCUUCAGCUUCCAGCGCCGCUACAGCUGUCGCGGCCGCAAUUGCGUUUCUCGCGGUGGCCGCUAUGUCGCGGCGUAGCGAUUGCGGUGGCCCUAAAAUCCGCUACGCUAUAGCGGGUCGCGACCGCUAUAGCCGCUAUUUGAUAACACUGCUCCCACUCGAAUCUGACUCCUUUGGAUCGCUUCUGACAAUUUAUGAAAACCUCCGGAAAGAUUGGUAACACUAACCAAUUUUCACUAUUCACGAAAAUUACCAUUCACAUGAAC
Molecule: long non-coding RNA, 3080 nt
Organism: Lotus japonicus
Lineage: Eukaryota; Viridiplantae; Streptophyta; Magnoliopsida; Fabales; Fabaceae
Exons: 6
Source: RefSeq, a predicted model, not a curated record